This 1824-nucleotide long non-coding RNA is filed under the name Populus tremula. RNAcentral describes it as "long non-coding RNA (PTRE_LNC001551)". The record is from RNAcentral. Lineage: Eukaryota; Viridiplantae; Streptophyta; Magnoliopsida; Malpighiales; Salicaceae.
UCACAUCUUGAAGUCUAUCUGAUGUGCCAUAUGACGUGUCUCUUCUGAGCGUUGCCUCCGUGAUCAACCUGCCCUCUUCUGAAGGUAUAGCAAAUCUCAAACUGUUAAAUUGUUUUUGUUCGCAUCUCUUUUUGUUUUUUUCCUGAAAAUAUUUACAAGUGUAUUGAUUUAGAAAUUUUGUUCAUACGUAUCCCUGGAACCCAUACUUUUAAGACCCGGCUCGGUGGUCGGCCCGGUUUAAGACCUAGGUUCCGGGUUUUGACUGGGUCCCGGGUCUCGACCGGGUCGGCCGGGUCAAAAUUUAUUUUUUAAUUUUUUUUAAAAAAAUCAAAACGACGUCGUUUUACCAAAAAAAAACUAAAAAAAAAUAAAAGUCAACGGGUUUGGGGCUGGGUGUUGAUCGGGUCUUGCCGGGUCAACCUUGUCCCGGGUCGACCGGGUCUGGCCGGGCCAAUUCCCAAACGGGUUUUGGCCUUUACCCGGACCGGUCCCAUGCCCGGGUCGGCCGGGUCCCGGGUCAACCCGCCGGGCCGAUCCGGGUUUUAAAACUAUGCUGGAACCUAGUAGUGUCUCAGUGUUCUUGUCUUUCGGUUAGUUGAAGGUUGUGAAGUGAACAUUUAUAGAGAGACACAGGAGCCAAACCCCGGGAGGUUGAGAUAGAUUGCCUAAGAUUCAAGGAACCCAUUUUGGUUGUGUUUUUCCAGGCUAUUCUAUCUUGUUUCAACGUUCUUUCCCCUUUUGUUUUCUUGUGUCAUCAGUUGAUUGUCUUCUCGUGUUUAUGUCGUGUGAUUCGUUCGUUUCUUUUUCUUGAGCCCAAAGGUUCGAAGAGUUGCUUCAAAGGUAGAGAAAGAUUUAAUUUGAGAUGGGAUAGAAGUGUUAGAGAAUAAUAUAAAUUAUAUUUUUAGAUUUUACCUAACAGCUUAAACUAUUGGGUUGAAUUGGUUUUAUAACAUAAUAUCAGAACCUUAUGACUAAGCGAUUAUGAAUUCAAAUCUCAUCAUUUCCGUCUGUUCAAGUUUCAAGCCUAAAGAAUUUUCACUUGAAAAGAUGUGUUAGAGAAUAAUAUAAAUCAUAUCUUGAGAUCUUACCUGACAGCUUAAGCUAUUAGGUUGAGGUGAUUCUUUGACAAAAAGCAUCAAUUUCUAAUUUUUUAGUACCUAUUUAAUUUCUUUGAUUCUCAUUUAAUCCAAGCUUUUUUUCCCAUCAUUUUUGCUUCUUAGUUCAAUCUGCAUUGCUUCGCUUCGGGGCUUAAGCGUAUUGCAGACAGGGCAACCUUGUUAUCAAACCCCCCUAACCAAGCUAAUGAUGCCUUGUGAUCCGUCCAUUGCUUCUGAAAGUGAAGGUUACAGAAGUAAUAGUGCACUGAAUCCUUCUUUGGUGGCGAGGGGUGAGGGAGUCUAUCCUGCUGCUGAAGCCGCAGCAGAGUGCCUCUCAGAGCUUGCUCUCCAAAGAGGAAGCCAAGACAAUAUCACCGCUCAUAGGAAAUUGGGAAGGAGAACGGUGUAGUAACUUGCGUCGCCCAUGGAUUACCUGUAACUCCUUAAUCAUCAACAUAUUUAAACUGCAAUAUAUGGGAAUUACCUUGACUGGUUUUUGCAAAUCUCAUUUUGGCUGAUUGCUUAUUCAUUUGAUUCCUACUUGGUAGACAUUUCAGUGUUUCCCAACUUGUACUGGAGCUAGUUUCGAGCUUAGAAUGUAAUCUUGGGAGUUUGGUGGAGGUUUCGGGUCGUGAUAUUCCAGUCUUCAAGCUGUUCAAACCCCCCACCUCACACCGUAAAUACUCGCUCACAGGUGUAGAAGCAGGGUAUGUUAUGACAGUGUUUG